RNAcentral lists this small RNA (675 nucleotides) under Pongo abelii (Sumatran orangutan). Its description in RNAcentral is "retained intron". The record is from RNAcentral. Lineage: Eukaryota; Metazoa; Chordata; Mammalia; Primates; Hominidae.
UCUGCCUCUAGGCACAGUAAGAGAGAGAACCUCCAGGUUGUCCAGAAGCCCGGCCAAAUGCGCUAUUCUCCUCACCUGCCUGGUCCGACAGCUGAGAUCUGGCCUGCUUGUCAUAUUACUGUCUCUUUUCCCAACAGGUCUCUGAGAUCUGGCAUGCAUAUUUGAACAAUCACUAUCAAGUCCUCUCACAGGUUCACACCCAACAAAUGGAUUUACUGGGCAAAUUAUUUGAGAAUGACACUGGCUUGGAUGAAGCCCAGGAAGCAGAAGCCAUUCGCAUCCUGACUUCAAUCUUGAACAUUCGAGAAUCUACAUCUGACAAAGCUCCCCAAAAAACCAUCUUUGUUCUGAAGAUCCUGGUCAUGCUUUACUACCUAAUGAUGAAUUCUUCAAAGGCAAGUUUCCCUAAAAAAGCAACACGUUUAAAAUGAAGGUAGAAAUUCAUCUAGUUGAACUCAUUUGUGUUUUGCCAAAUUCCAAUAGCUUUUGCCCUCAGAGCAAGCCCUCACUCCAAAGAGGUUCAGAUGCUCACGACGUUUCUCCUGUGUUGAGUCUAGCCUGCAUAAUGGAAACUGGAUUGUCUUCUUCCCCCGAGGGUUCCCAGUCUUGCAUAGAUAAAGGGAGUCUGGGGCAGUGCUGGGAAGCCUGCAGGGCAGGAAGGCUCUGGGGAGCCUU